GCUGGCGGCGUGCCUAACACAUGCAAGUCGAACGAGAAAGUGGAGCAAUCCAUGAGUACAGUGGCGACCGGGUGAGUAACACGUGACUACCUACCCUCGAGUGGGGAAUAACUCCGGGAAACCGGGGCUAAUACCGCAUAACAUCGAGAGAUCAAAGCAGCAAUGCGCUUGAGGAGGGGGUCGCGGCUGAUUAGCUAGUUGGCGGGGUAAUGGCCCACCAAGGCGAAGAUCGGUAUCCGGCCUGAGAGGGCGCACGGACACACUGGAACUGAAACACGGUCCAGACUCCUACGGGAGGCAGCAGUGGGGAAUUUUGCGCAAUGGGGGAAACCCUGACGCAGCAACGCCGCGUGGAGGAUGAAGUCCCUUGGGACGUAAACUCCUUUCGACCGGGACGAUAAUGACGGUACCGGUGGAAGAAGCCCCGGCUAACUUCGUGCCAGCAGCCGCGGUAAUACGAGGGGGGCAAGCGUUGUUCGGAAUUAUUGGGCGUAAAGGGCGCGUAGGCGGUGCGGUAAGUCACCUGUGAAACCUCCGGGCUCAACUCGGAGCCUGCAGGCGAAACUGCCGUGCUGGAGUGUGGGAGGGGUGCGUGGAAUUCCCGGUGUAGCGGUGAAAUGC
This 621-nucleotide ribosomal RNA is filed under the name uncultured bacterium. RNAcentral's name for it is "bacterial SSU rRNA". It matches the Rfam family "Bacterial small subunit ribosomal RNA", at positions 35 to 689 of the family's 1533-position model. The record is from RNAcentral.